GCUCCCUUGGUGUAGUUGGUUCAUCACGUUCGACUGUAAAUCGAAAGGUCUCUAGUUCGAUUCUGGAAGGGAGAA
Molecule: transfer RNA, 75 nt
Filed under: Colletotrichum tofieldiae
Lineage: Eukaryota; Fungi; Ascomycota; Sordariomycetes; Glomerellales; Glomerellaceae
Description: tRNA-Tyr
Rfam family: tRNA
About the family: Transfer RNA (tRNA) molecules are approximately 80 nucleotides in length. Their secondary structure includes four short double-helical elements and three loops (D, anti-codon, and T loops). Further hydrogen bonds mediate the characteristic L-shaped molecular structure. tRNAs have two regions of fundamental functional importance: the anti-codon, which is responsible for specific mRNA codon recognition, and the 3' end, to which the tRNAs corresponding amino acid is attached (by aminoacyl-tRNA synthetases). tRNAs cope with the degeneracy of the genetic code in two manners: having more than one tRNA (with a specific anti-codon) for a particular amino acid; and 'wobble' base-pairing, i.e. permitting non-standard base-pairing at the 3rd anti-codon position.
Source: RNAcentral